UACGGAGGGUGCGAGCGUUGUUCGGAAUCACUGGGCGUAAAGGGCGCGUAGGCGGUCUUAUAAGUCAGAUGUGAAAUCCCCGGGCUUAACCUGGGAACUGCGCUUGUGACUGCACGGCUAGAGUACGGCAGAGGGGGGUGGAAUUCCACGUGUAGCAGUGAAAUGCGUAGAUAUGUGGAGGAACACCAAUGGCGAAGGCAGCCCCUGGGCCGAUACUGACGCUCAUGCACGAAAGCGUGGGGAGCAAACAGGAUUAGAUACCCUGGUAGU
This 270-nucleotide ribosomal RNA is filed under the name uncultured bacterium. RNAcentral's name for it is "partial 16S ribosomal RNA". It matches the Rfam family "Bacterial small subunit ribosomal RNA", at positions 524 to 794 of the family's 1533-position model. The record is from RNAcentral.